This is a non-coding RNA of Podarcis lilfordi (Lilford's wall lizard), 73 nucleotides long. NCBI's taxonomy places the organism in Eukaryota, Metazoa, Chordata, Lepidosauria, Squamata, Lacertidae. The record is from the annotation of a GenBank genome assembly.
GAACAUAGUUCAGUGGUAGAGUCUCUGCUUUAUAUGCAGAAGGUCCAUGGUUCAGUUCCCAGCAUCUGCUACA